Molecule: long non-coding RNA, 309 nt
Filed under: Ananas comosus (pineapple)
Lineage: Eukaryota; Viridiplantae; Streptophyta; Magnoliopsida; Poales; Bromeliaceae
Description: long non-coding RNA (ACOM_LNC007369)
Source: RNAcentral
AAAAAAAAGGAGAGAAAAAGAUAUAAAGGUAUUUUGGUCAGUUUGUUGAAAAUUAGAACCGAAUCUGCAAAAUCGAAAAAGGCGGCUCAGUUUUACAAAUGCUCAAAACGUAUGGAUUGCUUAUGCAAAUUGGCCAUAUACAUACAAUAUAUAGUCAGGCUGGGAUACUAUCGAUAGCACCAUACAUUUUGUGCUAUCAAAUUUUCCGCCGUUAGGGCCCACAUCAUCAUAACCGUAUAUUUUUUAAUCCAAGGACCGAAAAUCUAAUAACACCAAAUGCUUUGUGCUAUUGAUAGUAUUCCAGCAUAU